Molecule: ribosomal RNA, 1919 nt
Filed under: Staphylococcus marylandisciuri
Lineage: Bacteria; Bacillati; Bacillota; Bacilli; Caryophanales; Staphylococcaceae
Description: partial 23S ribosomal RNA
Rfam family: Bacterial large subunit ribosomal RNA
Source: RNAcentral
UACGGAGUUACAAACGUUGACGUUAGACGAAGUAGUUGGAAAGCUACAUCAAAGAAGGUAAUAAUCCUGUAGUCGAAAACGUUAACACUCUUGAGUGGAUCCUGAGUACGACGGAGCACGUGAAAUUCCGUCGGAAUCUAGGAGGCCCAUCUCCUAAGGCUAAAUACUCUCUAGUGACCGAUAGUGAACCAGUACCGUGAGGGAAAGGUGAAAAGUACCCCGGAAGGGGAGUGAAAGAGAACUUGAAACCGUGUGCUUACAAGUAGUCAGAGCCCGUUAAUGGGUGAUGGCGUGCCUUUUGUAGAAUGAACCGGCGAGUUACGAUCUGAUGCAAGGUUAAGCAGCGAAUGUGGAGCCGCAGCGAAAGCGAGUCUGAAUAGGGCGAUAGAGUAUUAGGUCGUAGACCCGAAACCAGGUGAUCUACCCAUGGUCAGGUUGAAGUUCAGGUAACACUGAAUGGAGGACCGAACCGACUUACGUUGAAAAGUGAGCGGAUGAACUGUGGGUAGCGGAGAAAUUCCAAUCGAACUUGGAGAUAGCUGGUUCUCUCCGAAAUAGCUUUAGGGCUAGCCUCAAGUGAUGAUUAUUGGAGGUAGAGCACUGUUUGGACGAGGGGCCCCUCUCGGGUUACCGAAUUCAGACAAACUCCGAAUGCCAAUCAAUUUAACUUGGGAGUCAGAACGUGGGUGAUAAGGUCCAUGUUCGAAAGGGAAACAGCCCAGACCACCAGCUAAGGUCCCAAAAUAUAUGUUAAGUGGAAAAGGAUGUGGCGUUGCCCAGACAACUAGGAUGUUGGCUUAGAAGCAGCCAUCAUUUAAAGAGUGCGUAAUAGCUCACUAGUCGAGUGACGCUGCGCCGAAAAUGUACCGGGGCUAAACAUAUUACCGAAGCUGUGGAUUGUCCUUCGGACAAUGGUAGGAGAGCGUUCUAAGGGCGUUGAAGCAUGAUCGUGAGGACAUGUGGAGCGCUUAGAAGUGAGAAUGCCGGUGUGAGUAGCGAAAGACGGGUGAGAAUCCCGUCCACCGAUUGACUAAGGUUUCCAGAGGAAGGCUCGUCCGCUCUGGGUUAGUCGGGUCCUAAGCUGAGGCCGAUAGGCGUAGGCGAUGGAUAACAGGUUGAUAUUCCUGUACCACCCUUUUUCGUUUUAAGCGAUGGGAGGACGCAGUAGGAUAGGCGAAGCGUGCGACUGGAUGUACGUUCAAGCAGUAAGGCUGAGUGUUAGGCAAAUCCGGCACUCAUACGGCUAAGCUGUGAUGAGGAGGGGGAAUUGUUCCCCUGAGUCGCUGAUUUCACACUGCCGAGAAAAGUCUCUAGCUAGAAACAGGGUGCCCGUACCGCAAACCGACACAGGUAGUCAAGAUGAGAAUUCUAAGGUGAGCGAGCGAACUCUCGUUAAGGAACUCGGCAAAAUGACCCCGUAACUUCGGGAGAAGGGGUGCUCUUUGGGGUGUAUGCCCCGAAGAGCCGCAGUGAAUAGGCCCAAGCGACUGUUUAUCAAAAACACAGGUCUCUGCUAAACCGUAAGGUGAUGUAUAGGGGCUGACGCCUGCCCGGUGCUGGAAGGUUAAGAGGAGUGGUUAGCUUCUGCGAAGCCACGAAUCGAAGCCCCAGUAAACGGCGGCCGUAACUAUAACGGUCCUAAGGUAGCGAAAUUCCUUGUCGGGUAAGUUCCGACCCGCACGAAAGGCGUAACGAUUUGGGCACUGUCUCAACGAGAGACUCGGUGAAAUCAUAGUACCUGUGAAGAUGCAGGUUACCCGCGACAGGACGGAAAGACCCCGUGGAGCUUUACUGUAGCCUGAUAUUGAAAUUCGGCACAGCUUGUACAGGAUAGGUAGGAGCCUUAGAUACGUGAGCGCUAGCUUACGUGGAGGCGUUGGUGGGAUACUACCCUCGCUGUGUUGGAUUUCUAACCCGCA